UGGGGAAUAUUGGACAAUGGGCGAAAGCCUGAUCCAGCCAUGCCGCGUGAGUGAAGAAGGCCUUCGGGUUGUAAAGCUCUUUCGACGGGGACGAUGAUGACGGUACCCGUAUAAGAAGCCCCGGCAAACUUCGUGCCAGCAGCCGCGGUAAUACGAAGGGGGCUAGCGUUGUUCGGAAUUACUGGGCGUAAAGCGAACGUAGGCGGUGUUCCAUGUCAGAGGUGAAAGCCUGGGGCUCAACUCCAGAAUUGCCUUUGAAACGGGGACGCUUGAGUCCGAGAGAGGAUGGCGGAAUUCCUAGUGUAGAGGUGAAAUUCGUAGAUAUUAGGAAGAACACCAGUGGCGAAGGCGGCCAUCUGGCUCGGUACUGACGCUCAGGUUCGAAAGCGUGGGGAGCAAACAGG
This 404-nucleotide ribosomal RNA is filed under the name uncultured bacterium. RNAcentral describes it as "bacterial SSU rRNA". It matches the Rfam family "Bacterial small subunit ribosomal RNA", at positions 355 to 776 of the family's 1533-position model. The record is from RNAcentral.